RNA transcript from Rattus norvegicus (Norway rat), 786 nucleotides. It is a transcript of the gene named N-alpha-acetyltransferase 11-like, with no coding region annotated. The record is from RefSeq and is a predicted model, not a curated record. Lineage: Eukaryota; Metazoa; Chordata; Mammalia; Rodentia; Muridae. The transcript has 2 exons.
AUGUCCUACAUGCUUCCGCAUCUACACAAUGGCUGGCAGGUAGACCAGACCAUCCUUUCGGAGGAGGACUGCGUGGUCGUCAUUUGCUUUGGAGGCGUCGGAGGCCCCUCUUGCAUGAAGAUGGACGGAGUUCUGUACAGCAUCACCGAAACAACAUGGAAGAUAGUGAGAGAUCUUCCUCAUCUUGUAUGAGUUCUGUAUGGAUAACCCAGCUGUCUGAAAGCAAACGGUGCUGGUGUCGCUUGUGCCCUGUGGCAUCCUCUCUGAUUCUCCGGAGUCUGAUAGGCUUUUCUGCCUCCAAUAUGAACAUCCACUUGGACAGAUGACCUGAUGAACAUACAACACUGCAACCUGCUCUGCCUGCCCGAGAACUACCGGAUGAAGUACUACUAUCAUGGCCUCACGUGGCCCCAGCUCCCUACAUUGCUGAGGAUGAGGUUGGGAAGAUCGUGGGUUCUGUUCUGCCAAAAUGGAAGAGGAUCCUAAUAAUGUCACUCAUGGACACAUCACCUCACUGACUGUGAAGCGCUCCCACUGGCGCUUUGGCCUGGCCAAGAAGCUAUUGAACCAGGCCUCCCAGGCCGUGAUGGAGAACUUCAGCGCAUGCCAGGAGCAGCAACCGAGCAGCUUUGCACCUCUAUUCCAACACCCUGAACUUCCAGGUCCGAACUCUAGUUCUUACCGAAAGGUGGCAACAACAUGUCCCAUCGGCCAGUAUAGGUAAAUGGACUUGGAAGCAGCAGUGUUGUCUGACCUGAAUGCGUCCACUUCAUCACCAAUCCACAG